RNAcentral lists this ribosomal RNA (427 nucleotides) under uncultured bacterium. Its description in RNAcentral is "partial 16S ribosomal RNA". It matches the Rfam family "Bacterial small subunit ribosomal RNA", at positions 355 to 774 of the family's 1533-position model. The record is from RNAcentral.
UGGGGAAUAUUGCACAAUGGGCGCAAGCCUGAUGCAGCCAUGCCGCGUGUAUGAAGAAGGCCUUCGGGUUGUAAAGUACUUUCAGCGGGGAGAAAGGUGUUGAGGCUAAUAACCUCAGCAAUUGACGUUACCCGCAGAAGAAGCACCGGCUAACUCCGUGCCAGCAGCCGCGGUAAUACGGAGGGUGCAAGCGUUAAUCGGAAUUACUGGGCGUAAAGCGCACGCAGGCGGUCUGUCAAGUCGGAUGUGAAAUCCCCGGGCUCAACCUGGGAACUGCAUUCGAAACUGGCAGGCUAGAGUCUUGUAGAGGGGGGUAGAAUUCCAGGUGUAGCGGUGAAAUGCGUAGAGAUCUGGAGGAAUACCGGUGGCGAAGGCGGCCCCCUGGACAAAGACUGACGCUCAGGUGCGAAAGCGUGGGGAGCAAACA